AACACGGAAGAGUGGAAUUUUAGAGUGCGAUGGACUGUGGCAAGGACUAAAAGCGGAGAGCUUGAAGACACAAACAGGGCUCCUAGAACCGAACAAAAAGUGAAGGGAUGUUAAAUCUUCAGCCCCAAGUUGUGAGCACAAGGAAUCUUCGGCCCCAUGGUGUGAGGCCCUUUAGCUUCCUGCUUGCCAGUGUCUUAUCUGGCUGGGGCAACAAGGCCUCCUGCAGCAACUCUCCUUACUCCCAGCACGGGACUCAGGUUCCCACUCACUGAGGUGUUUCCACACCGUGAUGUCCC
Molecule: long non-coding RNA, 296 nt
Organism: Talpa occidentalis (Iberian mole)
Lineage: Eukaryota; Metazoa; Chordata; Mammalia; Eulipotyphla; Talpidae
Exons: 3
Source: RefSeq, a predicted model, not a curated record